This 218-nucleotide ribosomal RNA is filed under the name uncultured bacterium. RNAcentral's name for it is "partial 16S ribosomal RNA". It matches the Rfam family "Bacterial small subunit ribosomal RNA", at positions 1283 to 1500 of the family's 1533-position model. The record is from RNAcentral.
CAGUCUCAGUUCGGAUUGAAGGCUGAAAUUCGCCUUCAUGAAGCCGGAAUUGCUAGUAAUGGCAGGUCAGCAUACUGCCGUGAAUACGUUCCCGGGCCUUGUACACACCGCCCGUCACACCAUGAGAGUUGGGGAUACCCGAAGCCUGUGAGCUAACAGUAAUGAAGCAGCAGUCGAAGGUAGAAUCAAUGAUUGGGGUGAAGUCGUAACAAGGUACC